GGUGACGAGGCCGAGGAUGUUCUUGCCGUUGAUGGUGUUGUUCUUAAGGCACUGGCAGAAGAUGGGGAAGUUGACGAUGACGCCGAUCUGGAGGUCCUCAGGGACGAGGGUGGGGUUCACCAGCUCGACGGCUGGGUAGGCGGUGAGGUUGCCGUACGUGACGGUGGAGACCAAGUAGAAGGUGUCGUCGGCUUUGAUCUGGUAGUAGGCAGGCGAGUAGGAGCGAUUCCGGUCGCAGGAGCAGGUGAGGGGAACGAGGAGGAGCUGGCCCUGGCGGAGGGGAAGGGUCGAGUCGGCGACGGUGAGGUUGGUGGUCCGGGCGAUCAUGGCGCGGCUGACGCCGAAGAGGUCGCCGACGGAGGCGAGGUCGACGGAGAGGGGUACCUCGGUGGGUUCGGCGCGGUACAGCGCGUAGGCCUGGCAUGGGUAGAUGCUCCGGUCGGCGGAGCAGCGC
RNAcentral lists this long non-coding RNA (454 nucleotides) under Musa acuminata (dwarf banana). RNAcentral describes it as "long non-coding RNA (MACU_LNC002504)". Lineage: Eukaryota; Viridiplantae; Streptophyta; Magnoliopsida; Zingiberales; Musaceae. The record is from RNAcentral.